This 228-nucleotide long non-coding RNA is filed under the name Carica papaya (papaya). Its description in RNAcentral is "long non-coding RNA (CPAP_LNC011561)". Lineage: Eukaryota; Viridiplantae; Streptophyta; Magnoliopsida; Brassicales; Caricaceae. The record is from RNAcentral.
UUCUGCUCUUUAGUGAGCUCAAUAACUGAGAAAAGUUUCUUUGUUUGCAUAAUACAUGCUUCGACAACCAUGGGGUCUGGUCCACAUCAAAAUGAGGAGGGUUCAACUAGUGGAAUUCAUAGAUAUUUUAUGAAAUAACAUGGUCAAGGUGAUAGUGGUCAUCCGCAUGAUGUGGGCAUCCGAGGUUAUGAGCAAGGUUAUGGCCCACAGUGACGGUCAAACCCUAAU